GCAGGGGUAGCCAAGCUUGGCCAACGGCGUAGGACUUAGGAUCCUAUCCUUAGUGGUCCAAGGGUUCAAAUCCCUUCCCCUGCACCA
RNAcentral lists this transfer RNA (87 nucleotides) under Methanomassiliicoccus sp. RNAcentral's name for it is "tRNA-Leu". It matches the Rfam family "tRNA". Rfam says of the family: Transfer RNA (tRNA) molecules are approximately 80 nucleotides in length. Their secondary structure includes four short double-helical elements and three loops (D, anti-codon, and T loops). Further hydrogen bonds mediate the characteristic L-shaped molecular structure. tRNAs have two regions of fundamental functional importance: the anti-codon, which is responsible for specific mRNA codon recognition, and the 3' end, to which the tRNAs corresponding amino acid is attached (by aminoacyl-tRNA synthetases). tRNAs cope with the degeneracy of the genetic code in two manners: having more than one tRNA (with a specific anti-codon) for a particular amino acid; and 'wobble' base-pairing, i.e. permitting non-standard base-pairing at the 3rd anti-codon position. Lineage: Archaea; Methanobacteriati; Thermoplasmatota; Thermoplasmata; Methanomassiliicoccales; Methanomassiliicoccaceae. The record is from RNAcentral. RNAcentral also lists the same sequence under 1 other name.